ACGUAAUAGAUACCCGGGUAGUCCACGCCCUAAACGAUGUCUACUAGUUGUUGGUGGAGUAAAAUCCAUGAGUAAACGCAGCUAAACGCGUGAAGUAGACCGCCUGGGGAGUACGGUCGCAAGAUUAAAACUCAAAUGAAUUGACGGGGGCCCGCACAAGCGGUGGAUUAUGUGGAUUAAAUUCGAUGCAACGCGAAAAACCUUACCUGGCCUUGACAUGUAGCGAACUUUCCAGAGAUGGAUUGGUGCCCGAAAGGGAGCGCUAACACAGGUGCUGCAUGGCUGUCGUCAGCUCGUGUCGUGAGAUGUUGGGUUAAGUCCCGCAACGAGCGCAACCCUUGCCAUUAAUUGCCAUCAUUUAGUUGGGCACUUUAAUGGGACUGCCGGUGACAAACCGGAGGAAGGUGGGGAUGACGUCAAGUCCUCAUGGCCCUUAUGGCCAGGGCUUCACACGUAAUACAAUGGUCGGUACAGAGAGUUGCCAACCCGCAGGGGAGCCAAUCUCAGAAAGCCGAUCGUAGUCCGGAUUGUAGUCUGC
This 538-nucleotide ribosomal RNA is filed under the name uncultured bacterium. Its description in RNAcentral is "bacterial SSU rRNA". It matches the Rfam family "Bacterial small subunit ribosomal RNA", at positions 773 to 1308 of the family's 1533-position model. The record is from RNAcentral.